This 808-nucleotide ribosomal RNA is filed under the name uncultured Staphylococcus sp. RNAcentral describes it as "bacterial SSU rRNA". It matches the Rfam family "Bacterial small subunit ribosomal RNA", at positions 65 to 854 of the family's 1533-position model. The record is from RNAcentral. Lineage: Bacteria; Bacillati; Bacillota; Bacilli; Caryophanales; Staphylococcaceae.
AGCGAACGGACGAGAAGCUUGCUUCUCUGAUGUUAGCGGCGGACGGGUGAGUAACACGUGGAUAACCUACCUAUAAGACUGGGAUAACUUCGGGAAACCGGAGCUAAUACCGGAUAAUAUUUUGAACCGCAUGGUUCAAAAGUGAAAGACGGUCUUGCUGUCACUUAUAGAUGGAUCCGCGCUGCAUUAGCUAGUUGGUAAGGUAACGGCUUACCAAGGCAACGAUGCAUAGCCGACCUGAGAGGGUGAUCGGCCACACUGGAACUGAGACGCGGUCCAGACUCCUACGGGAGGCAGCAGUAGGGAAUCUUCCGCAAUGGGCGAAAGCCUGACGGAGCAACGCCGCGUGAGUGAUGAAGGUCUUCGGAUCGUAAAACUCUGUUAUUAGGGAAGAACAUAUGUGUAAGUAACUGUGCACAUCUUGACGGUACCUAAUCAGAAAGCCACGGCUAACUACGUGCCAGCAGCCGCGGUAAUACGUAGGUGGCAAGCGUUAUCCGGAAUUAUUGGGCGUAAAGCGCGCGUAGGCGGUUUUUUAAGUCUGAUGUGAAAGCCCACGGCUCAACCGUGGAGGGUCAUUGGAAACUGGAAAACUUGAGUGCAGAAGAGGAAAGUGGAAUUCCAUGUGUAGCGGUGAAAUACGCAGAGAUAUGGAGGAACACCAGUGGCGAAGGCGACUUUCUGGUCUGUAACUGACGCUGAUGUGCGAAAGCGUGGGGAUCAAACAGGAUUAGAUACCCUGGUAGUCCACGCCGUAAACGAUGAGUGCUAAGUGUUAGGGGGUUUCCGCCCCUUAGUGCUGCAGCUA